GUGUGAAAUCAAGUUUGCAAGCAGAUGGAUGCGUCGAUGCGUACUCGUUUUUUCUCUAGUGAAACCACUACGAAAAAACUAUUCGAAAUUGUAACACACGCACGAACGGAAGUGAGCAGGGACCACGAUAGAAACAAUAUUCAAUUGGUUUGAGUGCCGAAAACAACAGAACAGGAGGGGAAAGAAGGCAAGAACGACCAUUCAACGCGCUAGCGUCGGUGAAGUGGCAGGGGGGCAGGAACGAUCCUCCAGCGCGCUAGCGCAGCAUGUGGGAGCAGCGAGAGGGAGGCAAGCAGGAAGAAUUUUUAACGCGUACACACCAUUCGACGAAGACAACGCUGAAUGAAAGGAAGAACGAGGAGAGAAGGCAGGCAAUACGGGUACGUGUGUAUCCCGCACCGGUUUUCGGCAGUGUGAAUUGUGUGAGUAUUGAAAAGUGUAUGUGCGAGUAAAGAGGUAAAAAUAAAGAG
Anopheles merus is the source of this 470-nucleotide long non-coding RNA. RefSeq lists it as uncharacterized. NCBI's taxonomy places the organism in Eukaryota, Metazoa, Arthropoda, Insecta, Diptera, Culicidae. The record is from RefSeq and is a predicted model, not a curated record. The transcript has 3 exons.